CAAUCUUAAAUGCUGUAUAGGAGGAUCUCAUUGAGAAGAUAUCAUUUGAGCAAAGAUGUAAAGCAAGGGAGGGAAUGAGUCAGUGGCUACAUAGCGAGAGUGUCCUAGGCAGAGGAAACAGCUUCUACAAAAGCCCUGAAGCAAGAGAAUGUUUGAAGUGUUCAAGAAUAAACAGGAGAUGCAGAAUGAAUGGAAUUGAGAGUGAGUGAGGCAGUCGGAUACAAGAGAGACUAAUAUGGGGCAGCACUGAAGACUGCUGACAGCAGCCACAUGAGUGAGCUCAGAGUGGACACAACAGCCCCUUCAGAGGCUGCAGGGAUGGCAGACAGCCUGACUGCAAUGUCGUGAAAGAUGCUGAGGCAGAACCAUGCAGCAAAGUCAUUCCCAGAUUCCUGACUCUCAGAAAAUGUAAACUUCAUUUCAGACACAGAGAGAAGAGUGAAUGGAAAGAUGGGUGAGGGAUAGAUAUAUAGAUAAAUUAAUGCAGAAAUAAUUUUACAAAAAUCGUAUCAUACCAUAAUAUGUUGC
This 528-nucleotide long non-coding RNA is filed under the name Homo sapiens (human). Its description in RNAcentral is "HSALNT0314074". The record is from RNAcentral. Lineage: Eukaryota; Metazoa; Chordata; Mammalia; Primates; Hominidae.